UACAACCUGAACUCAGACGUGAUUACCCGCC
This 31-nucleotide ribosomal RNA is filed under the name Angiostrongylus vasorum (French heartworm). RNAcentral's name for it is "partial 28S ribosomal RNA". The record is from RNAcentral. Lineage: Eukaryota; Metazoa; Nematoda; Chromadorea; Rhabditida; Metastrongylidae.